UGAUAAACAAACAUAAAAGAGUGUGGUUUUUUCUUUGUCCUUCUCUGCUCUGCUCACAGCAAAACUAUCUAAGGGGAGUUGGUGUCAAAAGCUUUUGCUUUCUCUUAAGCAGAGCAAUACAAGAGGAGCAACAGAGCUUGGGAAAUUAAGACCUUGUUAUUCGCGUAAACUUAUAAAAGACGUAACGCUUUGUUGAUGGAGAGUAGUACCAUAAAGCAAGUUUGUAGAAAUUGAUCUUUCAAUUUCCUUUAUCAAAUUCUGACAAGUAAGUUUGAGAAUGAGGACAUUAUUAAGUGACUUUGGUUAUAUUUUGCAUAUCUAUCUAUCCUUAAAUAAUUAGUUCAAUGUUGAACUUUGAUCACAACAUUUUCUAAUCAAUCUUGGUUAUAUUUUGCAUAUCUGCUGUAUCUAUCCUUAAAUAAUUAGUUCAAUGUUGAACUUUGUUCACAACAUUUUCUAAUCAAUCUUGGUUAUAUUUUGCAUAUCUGCUGUAUCUAUCCUUAAAUAAUUAGUUCAAUGUUUAACUUUGUUCACAACAUUUUCUAAUCAAUCUUGGUUAUAUUUU
Long non-coding RNA from Solanum pennellii, 565 nucleotides. RefSeq lists it as uncharacterized. The record is from RefSeq and is a predicted model, not a curated record. The transcript is spliced from 3 exons. NCBI's taxonomy places the organism in Eukaryota, Viridiplantae, Streptophyta, Magnoliopsida, Solanales, Solanaceae.